GUUGGGGAUCCUGGGGCCCAGAGAUGUUAAGUGACUUCCUGAGGGUCACACAGCUGCAAGUAGCAAAGCAAAGACUGUGCCAACAAUUCUAUCCUCAAAUUGAGGAAGAAGAGAAGGAGAGAUAAUCACAAGCAGACUCUGCGCUGAACACAGAGCCUGACACUGGGCCUAAUCUCAGAACCUUGAGAUCACAACCUGAGCCAAAAUCAACAGUCA
This 216-nucleotide long non-coding RNA is filed under the name Mustela putorius furo (domestic ferret). RNAcentral's name for it is "lncRNA (ENSMPUG00000028311.1)". The record is from RNAcentral. Lineage: Eukaryota; Metazoa; Chordata; Mammalia; Carnivora; Mustelidae.